UGAGGAAUAUUGGGCAAUGCCCGCAAGGGUGACCCAGCAACGCCGCGUGGAGGAUGAAUGUCGUAAGAUUGUAAACUCCUGUUAGAGGGGAAGAAUAGUACCGGUUGGCCGGUAUAUGACUGUACCCUCAGAGAAAGCCCCGGCUAACUACGUGCCAGCAGCCGCGGUAAUACGUAGGGGGCAAGCGUUGUCCGGAUUUACUGGGUGUAAGGGCGGGCAGGCGGGAUAAAAGGUUAGUGGUGAAACCCUACAGCUUAACUGUAGAACUGCCUUUGAUACUUUUAUUCUUGAGUUCGGGAGAGAGAGACGGAAUUCCAGGUGUAGUGGUGAAAUACGUAGAUAUCUGGAAGAACACCAGUUGCGAAGGCGGUCUCUUGGUCCGACACUGACGCUGAGGCGCGAAAGCGUGGGGAGCAAACA
This 420-nucleotide ribosomal RNA is filed under the name uncultured bacterium. RNAcentral describes it as "bacterial SSU rRNA". It matches the Rfam family "Bacterial small subunit ribosomal RNA", at positions 355 to 774 of the family's 1533-position model. The record is from RNAcentral.